This 426-nucleotide long non-coding RNA is filed under the name Homo sapiens (human). Its description in RNAcentral is "HSALNT0040398". Lineage: Eukaryota; Metazoa; Chordata; Mammalia; Primates; Hominidae. The record is from RNAcentral.
ACAGAUUCCCCAUGAAUUGGAUUACUGCCCUAUAAAGAGGCUUCAGAGACCUUGGUCAACCUUUCUUCCGUGUGAGGACACAGCAAGAAGGCACCAUCAAUGAAGCAGUUUCUGUCUUCCUCAACCCCUCAAGAUCAGCGCUUUAGCUGCAAGUAAAUGCCUUCUUGCAUUGGAUUCUUCCCAUAAACUUCCCUGCUCAUUUCUCCCGUGGAUUGGGCCUUCUAUGACUGCACAUAUAUAGUCGCUUCAGAAUAGAAAGCCGCUUUCUCCCUUAGCAAGAUGCAGUUUUGUCUAGGAGAACUGAAGCAAUGAAGCAUAGGAAAGACAGAUCUGCAAAGAGCCAAAGAUGGCAGAAAGACUUCUGGAACCUGGAAAAAAUAAACUAAAGUGUUACAAGUGAUUAACCUAGGAAGGAAAGAAAUGGAG